RNAcentral lists this long non-coding RNA (1011 nucleotides) under Phasianus colchicus (ring-necked pheasant). RNAcentral describes it as "lncRNA (ENSPCLG00000002790.1)". The record is from RNAcentral. Lineage: Eukaryota; Metazoa; Chordata; Aves; Galliformes; Phasianidae.
GGGGAGUGGGACACUGCAUUCCUUUCAAAACAAGGCCGUGGCAAUAAGUUUUCAGGAGACAUGAAUCAGCCACGUAGGCAGUUAUAAAUAAUGGGGCGCAGCCGGGCUGGGUGACAUACCACUGCACUGCGUAUAUUGCAAGAACAUAUCAAUACUGUGCACUUUCUGCAUUUAAUCUUCCAGCAGACUUGGCAUCCACACACCCUCUGAGGCCGGUGGGAGUCUGGUCUGUGGGAGAACCAACUUGCUCUUGCUCUCCGCAUGGGAUUUUUAUGCUAUUUCAUGAGCUGGGACUGUACGGCUGGAGAACAGUGCUGUCACUUAUACCAAACUAUUGGCAAGAGAGUGCUUCACACAUAUUAAAGCCAAGCUGUCUACAUGAGGGUACAGCAGUAAGCAUAGGGAUGAGUGGAGAGAUGCAUGCGCUCUCAGCACAUGAGAUGAGCCCUCCAGAGGAAUGCUCUCUUGCAUCCAGGACCCUGUGGCUGUGCCUGUGUUGCUGUUUGAAUGCUGGGAUUAAAGUUAAGCUUCUCUUGUAAUCGCAGUCCCAUUCAGAUUUUGGGAAAUGCAAGUACACAGCACCAGGAUGUGGCCACACCCCUCUUUAUUAGCCAGCCUGGCACCUCAUUGCCAGUGUCCACAAUGAAUUGGAGAUUACAGAGAGUCCCAUACCAGUGCAUCACAGCACUGACAUCUCAUCCCAGCUUGCAAGGCUCAACGGGCUCCGUGAGCAGCGUCUGCUGGGGGACAACCAGGGUGGUUGUAAGAAGCAAGGAAAUGGGAGACUCCAGCAUUAGUGUUGACCACAUGCAUGGGAGGUGCAACAGAAGCUAUGGAAGUUUCAAAGAUACUGACAAGCAGCUGGGAGAACAAACUUCCAGCACGGAGGAGGCUGCUGGGAAGAGAGGCCAAGCUCUCUAUCAGAGACCCAACUCCGUAUGCCUUUUCUGUUGAAAUCUGUGAAAACUUGGAAAGAAUAACAACAGAUUUAUUUAUCACUUCUAGCAGUUU